UCAUUACUCGUAAUAAUUCGUCUGUAAGUAAUAGAUGCCUUUAGAGGAAGUGCACAAGAAGUAGUUAAAAAUAGAAAUGUUAAACAAUCUUCAUGCUUUUUAGGAAGUAUGAUUCACACUCUUUCUGGGUAAGAGUGAUGCUGAAUGGUCUUUGGGUCAAAACAUCACAUUCCAGAGCUAUGAGCUUGUAUUAUGGUCAAGGCUUAGCAUAUGUGAAUGGAGAGUGAUGACUGCAUAAAAGGGAGAGAGGAAUUUGCUCCAAUUCACUCCUGCACUGCACCCCAUUCAUGGGGCAGGCAGAGAGGCUUCUUCAUUUUCGGGUCAGAAUUAUAGGUAUUUGACAUGACAUUCGUGUAGCGGGUGAGGCUAUCACGAGAGGAAAUAAUAUGGUCCUCUAGGCCAGAUUGCCAGGGUUUUUUUUAAUUUCUUUAUCUUUUGUUCCUGUACUUGGAAAUUGUGGAAUUUUGUAUAUAACGACUCAUCGAUAUUAAACGAACCGAAACACAAGGAAUGGUGUCGUGUGUCAUCUUUCUGCAUCAGUUUCCGCGUGUUACAAGUGGCGUUGUCAGCAGGAUCGAUGUUCGUCGUUGGAUACAACCAAGUUCAAACCCUGACAAUCUGAGGAGCUCAUCCGUGGACAUCUUAAUUUGUAAAUAUUAACGUAGCUUUAACACUGUUUAAGAUGUAUUUGUGUGUGUGCAUAGUGUGAAUGCGGUAGCCAAAAUGUAGUUUGGUUUAAAAUAAUGUGGGGCUACAAGUGUAUUUAAUAGGGACUAAUACUAGUGGGAAGGUAUUUUAAGAGAUACCCUGUAAGAGUUUUCAGACCAAAUGGCUUUGGUCAAGGGAAUACUGAGUACUGUUGAAGAUUAGUUUUGUGUUGUCAUGGUAAUGCUGUGGUUUGGAACAGUCCAUGCCCCCCUUCUUAUGUAAUUUUGGCUGGUUGGAUGGGAACCACACAUUGGGGUGUAGGAAGCCAGAGACACCAGUAUUUUAUAUGUUGAUAGGAGGGAGUACAGUAUGUGCAGAGAAGCUCUGGGUUUGGCAAACAUGAUUAACUAUGAAUAGUUGAGGCGUUUCUUUGUCUGAUACUUGAAGUUUGUUAACUUUUUAAUUUUUGUUUUGGAUUUUGAUUAAUAUUCGGUUUAAUUAAGCUAUGGCGUGAAUUAAUGUUAAUUAAUUGCUUGAUCCAGAAUGUGUAUUUGGUAGUUUUAGGGGCUACUUUGGAAAAAGUAGGGGAGCCCACGUGUUGAUGAAAGUGUUUUACUUUCAUGUGUCUGUGUGUUAUAAUGGUUAUCAUAUUGUAAUAUGCUGAUCUUUCUGAUUUGUAACUGGGAUUUGGCUAGGAGUACUGCUAGGUUUAGUCAGGAUAAAGUAUCAAUGUUAAUUUCGAGAACCUCAAUCUGAGACCGGGACUGCAUUAGAGGGAUACUGGAGUGACUAUUGGGGCAGUAAGGUUUUUCUCUUUACCUUUGUUUAUCUGUUAACCUUCGAGGCCGGAAAGGACGCAGUGGUAGUUGAGAGAAUUAGUCAUAAGUUAUGAGAUUUUUCAGUGUGUUAUAUUGGUAUACCAUUGUUCCAUUUGAAAUUGCUAAGAUUUGGGGAAACAUCUAGUAAUUGUUAUUUGUUUAUUGUCUUGUAAUUCUUUAACAGUUUGAAUCGGCUUAAAGUAUAAGUAGGUAUAUUUUUGGAGGUUUAAGGAUGACAUUGUAGUGAUUGAUUUUACUGGCUAUAAUUUUAUAAUGGUCUGUUAUUCGUUGAGAUACAUGGAUUGUGAAGGUUUAUGUUGAUAACUAAACAAUUGGUUGGUAUAAACUCUGGAGCUGUUAGGAUCAGUUAGGAAGCACUUGGAAUGUUCAAUGCUAGGAACCUCAACAUGAGACUAGUAUUACAUAAUAUGGAGUGUACUUGAAAACUGAAACAGUUGAGUUUUUGCACUAGAUAUGUUUUCUGUGUUUAUUCUCGUCACGAGACCAGGAAGUUCGUAUUAGUGGUGCGGGUUCGCCAAUACCGUGUUAUUGCCGAGAUUUUUAUAUUCUGUAUCGGGUGAUUACUGGCUUUAUAUAUUUAGUGCCAUGAUUAAUUGUAAAUUGAUUUGUUCUGUAACUGGGAACAAGCAUCUCCAGGUCGUGUUAUUUUAAGUAGGACUUUAAUUUUUGUAAUAAUUUUGGUAUAGUGAGUGCCGGGACGUCACUCAAUUAAGUAGGGGAGUAUGUAACAGGUCAAAAUGAACUGUUUAUUGAAAAUUCAUAUAUUUUCAUUACUCUUAAUAAUUCGUCUGUAAGUAAUAGAUGCCUUUAGAGGAAGUGCACAAGAAGUAGUUAAAAAUAGAAAUGUUAAACAAUCUUCAUGCUUUUUAGGAAGUAUGAUUCACACUCUUUCUGGGUAAGAGUGAUGCUGAAUGGUCUUUGGGUCAAAACAUCACAUUCCAGAGCUAUGAGCUUGUAUUAUGGUCAAGGCUUAGCAUAUGUGAAUGGAGAGUGAUGACUGCAUAAAAGGGAGAGAGGAAUUUGCUCCAAUUCACUCCUGCACUGCACCCCAUUCAUGGGGCAGGCAGAGAGGCUUCUUCAUUUUCGGGUCAGAAUUAUAGGUAUUUGACAUGACAUUCGUGUAGCGGGUGAGGCUAUCACGAGAGGAAAUAAUAUGGUCCUCUAGGCCAGAUUGCCAGGGUGAGUGGUUAUCAUUUAUAAACCACUGUAUUUCAAUGCUAAUUUGUUGGCAUAUUUUUAUUGUUGGUUGGUAAAUUUCACUUAAUGGAUGUAUUUCAUUUAUUUGUUGGAAAAGUUAUCCAUAACGAUGGAGGAACUGAAUUUGUGAUUAGAUGAGUUGAAUUCAGGCAAUAUUGAAUAAGUUUUAAUGAAUGGAUAUAGACAACAUGUUUAUCAUUUAUUAUUACGAGUCUACUUGACGUCAUAUUGAUGAAUGUUUUAUCUAAGAGUCACAAGCAAAUAUGUGUAUAUUUCUAUUUUGUGCGUUUUUCAAACAUAUAUCAUCAUUCUAGUUAAUUGUUUUAUUCUCAUUGGUUU
RNAcentral lists this long non-coding RNA (3023 nucleotides) under Lytechinus variegatus (green sea urchin). Its description in RNAcentral is "uncharacterized LOC121419280, transcript variant X2". The record is from RNAcentral. Lineage: Eukaryota; Metazoa; Echinodermata; Echinoidea; Temnopleuroida; Toxopneustidae.